ACACACACACACACACACACACAGGAGGAGGAGAAAUCAGAGGAGGAGGCCUCCUUUGUGUGAAUUUGAUCGGGAUGAGACGACUGAAGCUUCCUUUAAUUUCACUAAGAGGGAGGAGGACGAGGAGGACGGGGAGGACGGGGAGGCAGACGCUGAGCAGGAGCUCAUGAAAUAUGGAUGAGACGGACGAGGUGUUUUCUUUCUGUUUAAAGCAGCGAUGG
Long non-coding RNA from Salarias fasciatus (jewelled blenny), 221 nucleotides. RefSeq lists it as uncharacterized. The record is from RefSeq and is a predicted model, not a curated record. The transcript has 3 exons. Lineage: Eukaryota; Metazoa; Chordata; Actinopteri; Blenniiformes; Blenniidae.